AUCCUGGCUCAGGAUGAACGCUGGCGGCGUGCUUAACACAUGCAAGUCGAACGAAGCACUUUUUCUUGAUUCUUCGGAUGAAAGAGAUAGUGACUGAGUGGCGGACGGGUGAGUAACGCGUGGGUAACCUGCCUCAUACGAGGGGGAUAACAGUUAGAAAUGACUGCUAAUACCGCAUAAGCGCACAGUAUCGCAUGGUACAGUGUAGAAAAACUCCGGUGGUAUGAGAUGGACCCGCGUCUGAUUAGCUAGUUGGUGAGGUAACGGCUCACCAAGGCAACGACCAGUAGCCGGCCUGAGAGGGUGAACGGCCACAUUGGGACUGAGACACGGCCCAAACUCCUACGGGAGGCAGCAGGUGGGGAAUAUUGCACAAUGGGGGAAACCCUGAUGCAGCAACGCCGCGUGAGUGAAGAAGUAUUUCGGUAUGUAAAGCUCUAUCAGCAGGGAAGAAAAUGACGGUACCUGACUAAGAAGCCCCGGCUAACUACGUG
This 494-nucleotide ribosomal RNA is filed under the name uncultured bacterium. Its description in RNAcentral is "bacterial SSU rRNA". It matches the Rfam family "Bacterial small subunit ribosomal RNA", at positions 16 to 507 of the family's 1533-position model. The record is from RNAcentral.